GGGAAAUCUUACCGGGUCCGGACACACUGAGGAUUGACAGGCAAAAUUAUUUAUAUGCUUUUUUAUUUUUAUAACUAAGCAUUUUAUAUGCAAAUAUGCUAGUCCUUUCAUGAUUAUGUGAUAGGUGGUGCAUGGCCGUUCUUAGUUCGUGGAGUGAUCUGUCUGCUUAAUUGCGUUUCACCAAGGGUUUAUAACAAACGUAUGUUGCGCCGUUUCGAUCCCGCUUUUUACUAAGUGUGUGGUCUUAGCGCGUUGCGCAUACAAAUAGGCCCUGAAAGCAACGA
Molecule: ribosomal RNA, 284 nt
Filed under: Psammosphaera sp. A111
Lineage: Eukaryota; Foraminifera; Astrorhizida; Psammosphaeridae
Also listed under: 5 other names
Description: partial 18S ribosomal RNA
Rfam family: Eukaryotic small subunit ribosomal RNA
Source: RNAcentral